UGGCUGUCAAGGAAAGCUUGCUCCCCUCCCUGAUCUGGGUUAAGAACUGGGCUUCUUCUCCUGGAGCCAUUUACCUUCCAACACUGCAGAGGCAGCACGGGAGACGUAAGCGGGAGAGCGGGCAGUGGCUGGGAGCUGCUUUCCACUGAAACUGCCCCGAGCAUCUUAGGAUGCUCCGAGUUGAUCCGCGUGGAAGGUAAUUUAACUCGAGAUAGCCACGCAUUCAAACCUCAGGUAUAUUUAAGCUGCACUUUUUUUUCCUCAUUAGAAUUCUGAGAGGUGUAAUUUAUUUUCCCUACCGGUAUUCACUCCGGGAUGUUAAUUCUGACACCGGCUGCUCCAACCUGGGAAGAAUUUGAGAGGCUGCCCGGCUUUGCCACUAUUUCAAUUAGUGACUCUGGGAAACCGUCCAUAUUUCUGAUCAUCAUUUUUUCUUAUUUGUAAGAAUGAAGGUAACCGUAGCCACCACUUCUCAGGUGAGGUGGAACAUGGGUGACAGGCGUGUCCCCGCGUCCCUCGAGCGUCCCCUGACCGGCUGCCGCACAGCCUCCUUUCAGCUAAGCACGCUCCCCGCUCCUCUCGCUAGGGGGCGGUAUCGCCUAACUGCUGACUCCCGCAGGCCUCGCCGGCUGAGGCCGGACCUAGCGCCUAGCGCGAGCCUUCAACCAAGACCAUCGCAUCUCUGCUGCCGCUACAGCGGUGCCAGCUCUGUCCUUCUUCGCCCUCUCUUGCAACCCCAGUUAAGACUGAAUCGAGAAUCACUUCUCUUCCUUAAUGAAUUCUAA
Molecule: long non-coding RNA, 785 nt
Filed under: Fukomys damarensis (Damara mole-rat)
Lineage: Eukaryota; Metazoa; Chordata; Mammalia; Rodentia; Bathyergidae
Description: lncRNA (ENSFDAG00000031575.1)
Source: RNAcentral